Molecule: unclassified non-coding RNA, 2373 nt
Filed under: Hevea brasiliensis (rubber tree)
Lineage: Eukaryota; Viridiplantae; Streptophyta; Magnoliopsida; Malpighiales; Euphorbiaceae
Source: RNAcentral
UAAGUAUAUAUAUAUAUAUAUAAUGUGCAUCUCUAGCAAAACAUUUUAUUUAAAAACCCUAAUUACCAAGAUUUUGUGGUCUCCAAUUACUGUUUACCCAACUUAAUUGUUAAAGGGGGCAAAAUAACAAAGAGAAGCAAGAACAGAAACAAUUCAUUUUUAUGUGAGCAAUACAUGAGAUCUGCAAUUCAAAUUAAAAAAAAAAAAAAGGAGGCAUAAAUCUGCAGGUUCUUUUGCACUGUUUAUUCAAUCAGAAUCAGAGUCUGGAUCCACAGAUGAUCUUACAGUCUUGCGUCUGCUUUCAGGAUAAUCAUCCUCUUCAUUGUCUUCCUUCUCACUAAUUAUACCUUUCUUCAUCAGAAGAAUCUCGAGUGAUUUUGUGGUGAAAUCAUCUUUUCCUCCCAAAUCUUGAAAUCCAAUCAGCCUAUCAAUUGCAACCCCUUUCCUAAAGCAAAAAUUGGAAGUCCCAAUUAAUAAUAUUUGAUAAACAAUGUUAAUUUCUAAAUUCAAUAGUGAUGCAAAAUCUGAAUAUCCUAGAGAAAAAAUAGAAAUUUCAUCAUAUUUGAUAAACAAUGUACAUUUCUAAAUUUGAUACUGAUGCAAAAUCUCAAUAUAAGACCACAACAACAAGAUGCAUAUGCAGAGCUUGAGGCCUAUUAGACGUGGACUCAGCUAAUUAUUCAUUAUAGCUUAGUAUGGGAUAACUCCCCAAUAUGCCACAUUUACUUGUCCUCAUUGCUUAGCAUAUAAGCAGAAUAGUGAACCCUAUAAUCAUAAACAUUAUCAUUUAAGGUUUCAAUUUUUCUAUUCUCCUCCUGUACCUGGGGAAAUUAGAAAAAAAAAAAAAGUUGGCAUGCAUUUUAAAAUAGUAACCAAGAUGAGCUGUAGUGAUAAAGAUUGCCAGACCUGAACAGUAUGACACAAGGUAAAGUUUUGACUCCAAGCUUGGUAACAAAGAAGGGUGCAUUCUGCAGUUCAUUUACAAUUGUUAGCAAAACAUAAGCAAGACAUUUAAAAAAUCAUAUAUUUGAAUAGCGAAAACCAAAAUUUGAGUUCAGCAGCCAGAGUAAAGGAUGAAAAAUCAAGCAGUGACCUCUGCGUCCAGCUUGAUGAACUUGGUAUCAAGAUGACUUUGUGCAAGAGCCUUCCAAUGCUUAUCCAUUAUUCUAGAAUAAUUAAUCAACAUGGUCACAAAUCAAAAGAGCAUGCGCAAGUGUGCAAACAUAUACAUGAUAGAGAAUCUAAAGUAAAAGCUAUACUUGCACCGAUAGAACUCCCCAUGGUAGAAGUGGCAAAUAACUUUCUCACUGCCAGUGACUUCACCCAAGAAAUCCCCCUCACUUAUCUCCCUGUACUCCCCAUGUCCCUGUUUCUUUAGGUACUCCCCAUCCCCAUGGCAAAUACUUUACCAAUUUCAGAAAGCUCACACCAGAAGUAAACAUGCAUGUUGUAUAUUAAGGUGUUUUGAACUUAUUACCUUGACAGCUGCAAUCCUGUCUGCGUGCAGUUUUUCAAGCUCAGGAUCCUAAACAUCAAACGGCAUAAACUUCUAAAAAAUAACAAUACUUGCAUGGUAAUGCAGAAACAAUUUAUAUGCAUCAUCAAAACUUACAUCCAUCAACUCAUCGAGGUCAACCUCUUGGUUGAGAGAACUUGAUGUCUGUGAUUUCUCUUGAGCAAUCAAUUCCUGCAACAUCAGAAUGUGAUUUUGAAGUCAAAUGACACCAUAAUGAAUGAUGAAAAUGAAUUAACUUGCUCUUACAUUCUCAUUUGGGUCUACAAAACAAAUUUUAUGUGUUAAAUUAUUAGCGGAUUAAAAAUUUUCCCUUCCUACGGAAUCAGCAAGAUAAUUUCUACCACACUAAUCCUUCUGAACCACAAAGAAUCCAACUAAGAAAAUCACUUAGACCCCUCCUUUCCUUAAUCCAAAAUAGCCGCUUUUUAGUAUUAAAAUUAUUGAAGACCUAUCAAAACGAGAAUGUUUGUCACUUCAUCUACCCCACAAUUAUUCAUGAGCACAAAAACAGAACAGAUGCCAAGCUGCUAAAACAACCGAGAGCUUAAACUAGCAAAGAGAUCUCCCAACCAAAAUUGCAGGCAACCAAACAUCAAAUUCACUUGGCAAUGUUGACAGGUGAGGACCCAGUUUCAGAAACAAAACUUUCUGAUAAUCGCGAGCAGCCGCUGCCAUUACAUUGCCAAAGGCUAGAUUAGACAAAGUUGAUUUAAUUGAAUUUGGAUCCAUUUUCCUCCCUUAAGAUGGAUGCGAUUUGAAACAGUGAAACGGAAGAAGAGAAGUGCACGCCUUAAACUUUCAAAGGGGCUUUUGCAGAGUGAAGGGAAGCAGAAACCUCAAAAUUAAGGACAAGAAUG